UCGGACUAUUUCACUAGAUUCCAACAACUAGAACCAAAUUUUAUGGCAUUACCAAAUUCAGAUAAAUUAAAUUAUAUUUUGGGAGAAAACUCCAGCUCAAUCAUAACAGCAGCAAAGUAUGUAACAGCCUGCCACAAACUACGAGAGUCAGCCAGUGGACAAAACUAAGGAAAGUUAAUUUAUGAGCCUGUUACUCCAUCAUGCAAGGCUGGCGGCACACUAGCGGACUUCUACAUAAUGGUUAGGGGUGUCACAUCUACCGUACUGUUUUUGCUGAAAUCACCCCAACUUCUGUAGUAAGUCUUACAUAACUUAAGGUUACAUAACCACCAUGGAUGUCAAUCAGAGUUUGCUUUAUGACGCGUUUGCCGAGGGAAAAGUAGAGACUCAACCCACCUCUUGAGAGACAUGACCUCAUCAUCUCCCUCCGAUUCUCCAGUGACUAUGUAAAAUAUAAGUGGCAAUUAUUGGGGUCCAAGGACAUGUGAAGGGAAGAUGACCAAAAUAGCCAAAUUUGACAGAAUAUAUGUUUUGGACACAGUCGAUUUGGUGUCAAACCUCAAUGGCUUUGCAUACAGUUAUACUGUUAUAGCACCCCCCUAUCAAUGGAAAUUAGUGUAAUUUGGCACGUGACCUCAGAACGUUAUGUUGUCCAUGUGUACCAAGUUUUGUCAAGUUUCAAUGUUGCAGUCACAAGAUACUGGCCGAUUAGUAAUAAUGGUCCUCACCAAACACGUAUUGGCAUAAAUUUACAUUUACAUUUAUGCAUUUGGCAGACGCUUUUAUCCAAAGUGACUUACAGUGCACUUAUUACAGGGACAAUCCCCCCGGAGCAACCUGGAGUUAAGUGCCUUGGUCAAGGACACAAUGGUGGUGGCUGUGGGGAUCGAACCAGCAACCUUCUGAUUACCAGUUAUGUGCUUUAGCCCACUACGCCACCAUCACAUUUCGAUUCUAGGGUUAGGGUUAUACCAUGUGGUUCAGGAUAUAUGGUCCGAGCAUGUGGGCGCCUGAGUAGUGGUUAGGAUUUGGAGCCACCCUGCCAAGUUUGGGGUCUCUGAUGCCCAGACACUAUUGUGGUACUACCUUUGGUGCUUGGGUCCCCUAAUGAAAAUUACGAUAGAAAAAUGGCUAACAGCGGCCAGCUUAAUGGGAAUCAACUGGUUAAUUUAAACCAACAGUCCUCCAUUAAACAAAUUUUUUUAAGAAAAACAGUCUGAGUCACCUUCUCUCUCAGACGCUGCUUGAGAGUGUCGAGACGGGCCAUGCUCCAUUUUCUGGUUGAGUUUCUCCUCUGUCAUCUUGCUGUAGUUGUUGUUCACCUCCUGGGCCUUGUUGGGCACAUCCCUCUCGUGCUCCCGUUUCUCUGCCAACUGCUGCAGGACCUGCUUCUCCUGGGACAAACAAAUAAGAGUGGAGAUGCCACAGUGACCGUGAUUUCACCCAGUAGAACAUCUUUGUUGAUCCUGGAACAACAUUCAGAAAAAAGCUGCCUGCAAUCCCGCUGCAUCCUCCACAGGAGACAGAAUAUUCCAGACCUCACCUGAAACUGCAGCUGGAGGUGGAUGGAUGCUGGGCAAAGAGAAUGAAGAAGAGAGAAGAUGAACUGUGGGAGUGUCGGACGGCUGCUGGGGAGUAUAAGCAGAGUGAUGGAUGCAGGAGGAGGAGGAGCAGAGAGAGAAAUGUAAAGUGAUAGAGAAAGAGUUACAUAUGCAGCACGGUUGUCUUGGAAACAAAUGGUAUUUCUGUUUCUCACAUGCAUAAAAGAAAACUAUUCUGAUGCAUCAAAUUAAUAAAUAUUAUACUCUAUAUAGCGGGUGUUCAACAGCGUGUCUGCCAAUUAUUGUUUGAAGUUAAAGAACGUUUUAUUGUCUCUCCCACAUACAAAUGUGUUAAGUAAAAUGAAAAUGUAAUGAAUAUUUAAUACAGAUCACACUUUACAGUAAUAAUCCCUUUAUUAAGGGGUUUAUUAAUAUAGUAAUGCUCAUAAAUGCAUUAUAAAUCAUUAAUACACUGUUAUAACAUCAUGCAUAAGUAGUGUGACUAUCGCACAAUAGGUGCCAAAUAGUGAACCACUUUCCCUUGUGUUAUAAAUGCUUAGUAACACUUAUUCACCAUUAGUAACGUAAGCAAAUAUACCUUGCAAACAUUGGAAACCUUUAUGGUUUAAUGGUUGUCAUGCUUCAUUGUAUGAUAAUGUAUGUGAAUGAGCAUUAAGACCUGAAAAGUGUUUUUGCAGAGUACAUUUAGUAACUAGGACUACUUUUCACCUUGUCAAGAGCUGACAAAAGUCAUAAAAUAGGACAUUUUUUGUUCUUAUUAAUGCAAGUAUGAGUGUUUAUUAAGUAUUUAUAACAUGCAAGUUAAAAUGCUCACUAAUUGGCAAACACAAAUACCUUUUGCAUGUCGCUAACUGCUUAUAAAUUAUUUAUAAUGCAUUUGUAAAUCAUUAACAAACCCCUUUAUAUACAUUUAACACAUUGAACUUCACUGUUAAGUGUUGCUACAAUAAUGUAAUGUACUGCAACUCUAGACAUCAACAAUGGCUUUGCGUUGUAAGCAUAAUCAAGCUCGUAAAAAUAUGAAGAUGGCACUGAAUAACUCUGGCUUGAAAAGGGGCAGAAGACCCCCUGAUAUUCAGAUUAGAGUUACCAAAUGAAGUCAGACUGAAUGUAUUUAAAUGGUUAAAUAAUGUACUUGUCAUCUGCUGAUAAAACACAAAGACAUGAAGGAUAAACUAACAGGAUGUUAUUAAUGCAAGUACAUAUAAAUAUGUAAAUACAGCGGUCCUGAAAAGUACAAGUCUGAAUGUGGGCUUUAGUAACAGGUCAAUAUUUUUAGAUACUGUCUAUUUAUUUGGUGUAUCGGGGGUCUUUUGUGCUGUCGAUGAGGUAUUGGUUUCUCGGGUGGUAUAUAGUCCUGUGACGAACACUUAAGACAGUAUUUUAUUGUUUUCAAUCAGCUAUUGAUCCAUGACUGUCACGGGCAUACAGUACUCUAAUUAAUGUUCUAGAACAACCUUGUCAUUUCUGAUGGAAAUAAAU
Molecule: long non-coding RNA, 3044 nt
Organism: Xyrauchen texanus (razorback sucker)
Lineage: Eukaryota; Metazoa; Chordata; Actinopteri; Cypriniformes; Catostomidae
Exons: 3
Source: RefSeq, a predicted model, not a curated record